CACAGCUGAGCUGGCUGAGUGGAUCUACUGGGUUUUUCUAAGUGAAAACCACUUGGUGAGGACUUCUAGUGUCAGACUGGUCAUCCUCCUGCUCUUUCCUACAGCAAAUUUCUACCACCAAAGCUUCAGAUGGGUCAGGAGUACCCUACAUCCAUGGGAUCAAGUUAAAACAGGAGAAAACCCUGAAAUCCUCAGAAAGAUUCCUAUUUCCUCGCAUCAAGGACAAGAACAUAUGAAGUCAGCUUGACAAAACAAAAACAUUUUUCAGCAACAGGACAACAAAGCUGUCACUAGAAGACAAAUCCUGUUCCCAGAUUAUGAAAGUCCAUUUCAC
Long non-coding RNA from Columba livia (rock pigeon), 334 nucleotides. RefSeq lists it as uncharacterized. The record is from RefSeq and is a predicted model, not a curated record. The transcript is spliced from 3 exons. Lineage: Eukaryota; Metazoa; Chordata; Aves; Columbiformes; Columbidae.